RNAcentral lists this ribosomal RNA (433 nucleotides) under uncultured bacterium. RNAcentral describes it as "partial 16S ribosomal RNA". It matches the Rfam family "Bacterial small subunit ribosomal RNA", at positions 29 to 507 of the family's 1533-position model. The record is from RNAcentral.
AGCAAACGCUGGCGGCAGGCCUAACACAUGCAAGUCGAACGAACUCUUCGGAGUUAGUGGCGGACGGGUGAGUAACACGUGGGAACGUGCCUUUAGGUUCGGAAUAACUCAGGGAAACUUGUGCUAAUACCGAAUGUGCCCUUCGGGGGAAAGAUUUAUCGCCUUUAGAGCGGCCCGCGUCUGAUUAGCUAGUUGGUGAGGUAAAGGCUCACCAAGGCGACGAUCAGUAGCUGGUCUGAGAGGAUGAUCAGCCACAUUGGGACUGAGACACGGCCCAAACUCCUACGGGAGGCAGCAGUGGGGAAUCUUGCGCAAUGGGCGAAAGCCUGACGCAGCCAUGCCGCGUGAAUGAUGAAGGUCUUAGGAUUGUAAAAUUCUUUCACCGGGGACGAUAAUGACGGUACCCGGAGAAGAAGCCCCGGCUAACUUCGUG